Molecule: transfer RNA, 76 nt
Filed under: Streptomyces canus
Lineage: Bacteria; Bacillati; Actinomycetota; Actinomycetes; Kitasatosporales; Streptomycetaceae
Description: tRNA-Thr
Rfam family: tRNA
About the family: Transfer RNA (tRNA) molecules are approximately 80 nucleotides in length. Their secondary structure includes four short double-helical elements and three loops (D, anti-codon, and T loops). Further hydrogen bonds mediate the characteristic L-shaped molecular structure. tRNAs have two regions of fundamental functional importance: the anti-codon, which is responsible for specific mRNA codon recognition, and the 3' end, to which the tRNAs corresponding amino acid is attached (by aminoacyl-tRNA synthetases). tRNAs cope with the degeneracy of the genetic code in two manners: having more than one tRNA (with a specific anti-codon) for a particular amino acid; and 'wobble' base-pairing, i.e. permitting non-standard base-pairing at the 3rd anti-codon position.
Source: RNAcentral
GCCGCCUUAGCUCAAUUGGUAGAGCGGGAUCCUUGUAAGAUUCAGGUCGUCGGUUCGAUUCCGACAGGCGGCUCCA